AUUUCCCUUAAGGGAGGAAAAGAAACCAACAGGGAUUGCCCCAGUAACGGCGAGUGAAGCGGCAAGAGCUCAAAUUUGAAAGCUGGCUCCUUCGGGGUCCGCAUUGUAAUUUGCAGAGGAUGCUUCGGGAGCGGUCCCCAUCUAAGUGCCCUGGAACGGGACGUCAUAGAGGGUGAGAAUCCCGUAUGGGAUGGGGUGUCCGCGCCCGUGUGAAGCUCCUUCGACGAGUCGAGUUGUUUGGGAAUGCAGCUCUAAAUGGGUGGUAAAUUUCAUCUAAAGCUAAAUAUUGGCCGGAGACCGAUAGCGCACAAGUAGAGUGAUCGAAAGAUGAAAAGCACUUUGAAAAGAGAGUUAAAAAGCACGUGAAAUUGUUGAAAGGGAAGCGCUUGCGACCAGACUCGCUCGCGGGGUUCAGCCGGCAUUCGUGCCGGUGUACUUCCCCGCGGGCGGGCCAGCGUCGGUUUGGGUGGUCGGUCAAAGGCCCUCGGAAGGUAACGCCCCCUCGGGGGCGUCUAUAGCCGAGGGUGCAAUGCGACCUACCCGGACCGAGGAACGCGCUCGGCUCGAUCGCUU
Molecule: ribosomal RNA, 573 nt
Filed under: Penicillium kojigenum
Lineage: Eukaryota; Fungi; Ascomycota; Eurotiomycetes; Eurotiales; Aspergillaceae
Description: eukaryotic LSU rRNA
Rfam family: Eukaryotic large subunit ribosomal RNA
Source: RNAcentral